RNAcentral lists this ribosomal RNA (246 nucleotides) under uncultured Lactobacillus sp. RNAcentral describes it as "partial 16S ribosomal RNA". It matches the Rfam family "Bacterial small subunit ribosomal RNA", at positions 116 to 354 of the family's 1533-position model. Lineage: Bacteria; Bacillati; Bacillota; Bacilli; Lactobacillales; Lactobacillaceae. The record is from RNAcentral.
CGUGGGUAACCUGCCCAAGAGAUCGGGAUAACACCUGGAAACAGAUGCUAAUACCGGAUAACAACAGAUGAUGCCUAUCAACUGUUUAAAAGAUGGUUCUGCUAUCACUCUUGGAUGGACCUGCGGUGCAUUAGCUAGUUGGUAGGGUAACGGCCUACCAAGGCGAUGAUGCAUAGCCGAGUUGAGAGACUGAUCGGCCACAUUGGGACUAAGACACGGCCCAAACUCCUACGGGAGGCAGCAGAA